RNAcentral lists this long non-coding RNA (749 nucleotides) under Monodelphis domestica (gray short-tailed opossum). RNAcentral's name for it is "lncRNA (ENSMODG00000042145.1)". The record is from RNAcentral. Lineage: Eukaryota; Metazoa; Chordata; Mammalia; Didelphimorphia; Didelphidae.
CGAGCUACUUGGAACAAAGUAAGUACAUAUUAAAUACAUAUUAAAUGGAUGACACAGCAGAGCUACAUUGGAUAAUAUCUAACAAUAAUCAGCAAAGUAGGUCAUUCCUCUGUUAUUGCUUCUGCUGCCAAUAGUUUGUUCAAUUCUGUUUGCUUUGAAAGGGCUCUUAGCACAUAUUUUUCAAGCCUGACUGUGUUAUAGCUUCUUAUGAAGGCAGCUGAUAUGUAGGGGUAAUCUGCUAGAGGAGACAAGAAGGAAUGGGAUCUCUCAUAGAUGUGGAGGGGUUGGCCUUGGCAACAAGAGGGGUCUCCACAUCAUAUGAGACAAAGGUGAAAGAAGAUAUAAUGUUGAUUGCAUCUGGAUGAUGUGAGAUGAGAAGAGGGAGCUCUUGGUGAAUAAAUAGCCUCAACAUUUAAUGUAAUGGAGGAGGCAAGAUUCUCAGAAGGAAGAAUUGGGAGCAGCAAAUGGAUCAAAGUUUAUAAAGAGGCCAAUUUAGACUUGAUACCAGAAUAAGAAACAGAAAAAAAAACUUUCUAGCAUUUACUUCUAUCAAAAAGUGGAAUAAGAUGCCUCAAGAUGUAAUGGAUUCCCCCCUGUGGAACACAGAAGUCUUCACAUACUUGGGUAUAGACACUACCACACCUCAGAUCACCAACAGAUUUAAAGUCUUUUGGUUACCCUCCACCUGGUUUAGCCUGUCUACUGAAACUGGCAUGUGGCCACCACACAUGCUACGACUUCUUGGUUGA